CAGCAGCCACGGUAAUACGAAGGGGGCUAGCGUUGUUCGGAAUUACUGGGCGUAAAGCGCACGUAGGCGGAUAUUUAAGUCAGGGGUGAAAUCCCGCAGCUCAACUGCGGAACUGCCUUUGAUACUGGGUAUCUUGAGUAUGGAAGAGGUAAGUGGAAUUCCGAGUGUAGAGGUGAAAUUCGUAGAUAUUCGGAGGAACACCAGUGGCGAAGGCGGCUUACUGGUCCAUUACUGACGCUGAGGUGCGAAAGCGUGGGGAGCAAACAGGAUUAGAUACCCCAGUAGUCCCUGUCUCUUAUAC
Molecule: ribosomal RNA, 301 nt
Filed under: uncultured bacterium
Lineage: Bacteria
Description: partial 16S ribosomal RNA
Rfam family: Bacterial small subunit ribosomal RNA
Source: RNAcentral